UUGAAGAGUUUGAUCAUGGCUCAGAUUGAACGCUGGCGGCAGGCCUAACACAUGCAAGUCGAGCGGUAGCACAGAGAGCUUGCUCUCGGGUGACGAGCGGCGGACGGGUGAGUAAUGUCUGGGAAACUGCCUGAUGGAGGGGGAUAACUACUGGAAACGGUAGCUAAUACCGCAUAAUGUCGCAAGACCAAAGUGGGGGACCUUCGGGCCUCAUGCCAUCAGAUGUGCCCAGAUGGGAUUAGCUAGUAGGUGGGGUAACGGCUCACCUAGGCGACGAUCCCUAGCUGGUCUGAGAGGAUGACCAGCCACACUGGAACUGAGACACGGUCCAGACUCCUACGGGAGGCAGCAGUGGGGAAUAUUGCACAAUGGGCGCAAGCCUGAUGCAGCCAUGCCGCGUGUGUGAAGAAGGCCUUCGGGUUGUAAAGCACUUUCAGCGGGGAGGAAGGCGGUGAGGUUAAUAACCUCAUCGAUUGACGUUACCCGCAGAAGAAGCACCGGCUAACUCCGUGCCAGCAGCCGCGGUAAUACGGAGGGUGCAAGCGUUAAUCGGAAUUACUGGGCGUAAAGCGCACGCAGGCGGUCUGUCAAGUCGGAUGUGAAAUCCCCGGGCUCAACCUGGGAACUGCAUUCGAAACUGGCAGGCUAGAGUCUUGUAGAGGGGGGUAGAAUUCCAGGUGUAGCGGUGAAAUGCGUAGAGAUCUGGAGGAAUACCGGUGGCGAAGGCGGCCCCCUGGACAAAGACUGACGCUCAGGUGCGAAAGCGUGGGGAGCAAACAGGAUUAGAUACCCUGGUAGUCCACGCCGUAAACGAUGUCGAUUUGGAGGUUGUGCCCUUGAGGCGUGGCUUCCGGAGCUAACGCGUUAAAUCGACCGCCUGGGGAGUACGGCCGCAAGGUUAAAACUCAAAUGAAUUGACGGGGGCCCGCACAAGCGGUGGAGCAUGUGGUUUAAUUCGAUGCAACGCGAAGAACCUUACCUGGUCUUGACAUCCACAGAACUUN
Molecule: ribosomal RNA, 1004 nt
Filed under: Klebsiella pneumoniae subsp. pneumoniae
Lineage: Bacteria; Pseudomonadati; Pseudomonadota; Gammaproteobacteria; Enterobacterales; Enterobacteriaceae
Description: bacterial SSU rRNA
Rfam family: Bacterial small subunit ribosomal RNA
Source: RNAcentral